UGGAUGGAAACGGAUUGCGAACGGAUAUAUGAAAUCUCCUCAUUUUCCAUAUAUGAAAAAUCUAAAACACGACUGCAUUGAAUGUUGGACCUCUAAGUAAUGACAUCAUACUCAUAAAAGUUGAAUUCAGCUAUGCAAACUUGGUGGCUUGUGUUUGCUUAUGUUUCUAACAUUUGUCGUGCUUUUUAAUGGAUAUCUAGGAUAGGAAGUCGAUUGUAAGCAUUAAAAGGACGAGCAAGUUUGGAAUCACUUCCUURUAGUUAUUCUUGUACUCCAGUUUGCUUCACGUUUUUCAGAUUCUGACGAGCUAUUUCAAGUAAAUCUCCUUCUACUCUUCCGCCGAUUCCGCUGACGUAAAACUUAACUUAAACUAUUCUAAGUGAGCUUCACCUCACUCUUGCUACCCAACUGAAAAGCGGUAAAGAAAGAUCUCAAAGAUGUUUACAACGGUGACUUCGCCAACAGGAAUGAAUGUUGUUUCCACCACCAYGAAAG
Molecule: long non-coding RNA, 495 nt
Organism: Exaiptasia diaphana
Lineage: Eukaryota; Metazoa; Cnidaria; Anthozoa; Actiniaria; Aiptasiidae
Exons: 3
Source: RefSeq, a predicted model, not a curated record